GAUGAACGCUGGCGGCGUGCCUGAUACAUGCAAGUCGAGCGAACAGACGAGGAGCUUGCUCCUCUGACGUUAGCGGCGGACGGGUGAGUAACACGUGGAUAACCUACCUAUAAGACUGGGAUAACUUCGGGAAACCGGAGCUAAUACCGGAUAAUAUAUUGAACCGCAUGGUUCAAUAGUGAAAGACGGUUUUGCUGUCACUUAUAGAUGGAUCCGCGCCGCAUUAGCUAGUUGGUAAGGUAACGGCUUACCAAGGCAACGAUGCGUAGCCGACCUGAGAGGGUGAUCGGCCACACUGGAACUGAGACACGGUCCAGACUCCUACGGGAGGCAGCAGUAGGGAAUCUUCCGCAAUGGGCGAAAGCCUGACGGAGCAACGCCGCGUGAAUGAUGAAGGUCUUCGGAUCGUAAAACUCUGUUAUUAGGGAAGAACAAAUGUGUAAGUAACUAUGCACGUCUUGACGGUACCUAAUCAGAAAGCCACGGCUAACUACGUG
RNAcentral lists this ribosomal RNA (497 nucleotides) under uncultured bacterium. RNAcentral's name for it is "partial 16S ribosomal RNA". It matches the Rfam family "Bacterial small subunit ribosomal RNA", at positions 28 to 507 of the family's 1533-position model. The record is from RNAcentral.